AAAGCCUACUGAUGGCUGAUGCGAAAUGUUCUGUGAGUGACUGAAUAGAAAUGGAAAAUAACAUCAGCAUACCUUUUCUUGGAACUGGAUUCUCUCUGGCCUUCAGAAUCACCAAAUGAAGCAUCAAGUUCCGCACUAGUAAAAGACUCGCAAAUUGACAAAAGUAAGUAGGCGACAACAGAAAAACAAGAAUAAAACAAAAGCAGGAGAAACAGAUGGAUGAAUGCCAACUGAUAAUUAUUGAUAACAGGAAGCAAAAUGAAAUGUUAAAGAAGCCAAAUCGCUUAAGUCAUUGCAUGCAUUACUCAGUUAAGAACAGAAGUAGCAAAACAAGACUCCUCAGACCAUCAGGCCGAUUUUUUAUAUAUAUUUUAACCUCUAACUCUAAUGACUUGUCGUCAAACUAGUGUAAUACUUAGCUCCGAUUAAUCAUCAACUUGAUCUUCAGACGCUACCCUAGUUACAAUAACAGCAAAAC
This 478-nucleotide long non-coding RNA is filed under the name Linum usitatissimum (flax). RNAcentral describes it as "long non-coding RNA (LUSI_LNC002008)". The record is from RNAcentral. Lineage: Eukaryota; Viridiplantae; Streptophyta; Magnoliopsida; Malpighiales; Linaceae.